CGCGGCGUUCAUCUCCCAGUCUCUUUCUAACUGUGUCCCAACUGCUUAAAAGCUACAGGACAAGGAUUAGGUCCCGGCACUUAUGGAUCAUUGAUGCAAAAGCCAAAUCAAGAAAAUGCAGUUAAAACUUAGGGUGAAGUCCGGAAUUUGGAGUCCGCUGAGAAGUUUAUAAUAGCUCCGUACCGAUUGCGGCUACAUGUCUGCAUAUAGUUGGAUGAUCCUUUUCCCCGCUGGCUCCCUUACUGUUCUCUCAUAACAGUUUCUGCCCAGAAGAGCAACCGUGUCGAUUCAAACCUGUCUCUCUAAACUUGCACUCCGUUCAUUUCAAAGACUGUCGUUACCUACACCUGGCCCUUGCAGGUAAAGAAGCCGAUCAAGCAUUUUGAAACAUCAUGCCUCGGCUUUGGCAAAUUGUAUUGAAAAUAAUUCUAACAACCCCAGCUUUGGCACUUAGAAAAGCGUCGAGACGAUUUCAGCGGAUGAUUAUCCAAUAUGAGAUGGAAGGCCUGGCUCCCGAGUAUGUGCUGCCAGAAAAGCUUUACAAGUUCUAUUCAUGAAAUAUAAGUCAAUAGAAAUCCUAAUCUUACAUAUAAAAAGAGGGAGUUUAGUUUAGCGAUAAUGGUUUUGGUCCCCUAUGGACAAUUUUAUGAAUUCAAUUGUGUAUGCUAUUGGUCAAGGUUAGUUUCAACUCUGAUAAUGUGAGACAUAAUAUGGUCCAAAUAUUUUUUGUGACUAUGUUUACCUUAUAAGUCAAUUAUACCUUUUGUUUCUACUACACUCUGUACUGAUUGGGAUGAUAUUGAGUGGGUGGACAA
Long non-coding RNA from Coffea eugenioides, 815 nucleotides. RefSeq lists it as uncharacterized. The record is from RefSeq and is a predicted model, not a curated record. The transcript is spliced from 2 exons. NCBI's taxonomy places the organism in Eukaryota, Viridiplantae, Streptophyta, Magnoliopsida, Gentianales, Rubiaceae.